CGUCAUUUCUCUCUCCACACCUAGUGGGUAUUGGCACUGUACACAGUGCUCAAAACAAUCAUGCGUAUGUGUUAACCACAAUGUGCGCUUAAAACUUAACUAUUGACCUCGUAUAAGGUAAGAGUACCCACUGAACUUAAGCAUAUCAAUAAGUGGAGGAAAAGAAACCAACAGGGAUUGCCUUAGUAGCGGCGAGUGAAGCGGCAAAAGCUCAAAUUUGAAAUCUGCCUUACGGCCGAGUUGUAAUUUGUAGAUGGUAACUCUGCGACAAGUCUUUGCUCAAGUGUUCUGGAAAGGACCAUCAUGGAGGGUGAUAAUCCCGUGAGGCAUUGAUGCAGUUGCGUGUAGAGUGCUAUCGAAGAGUCGAGUUGUUUGGGAAUGCAGCUCAAAGUGGGUGGUAGACACCAUCUAAAGCUAAAUAUUGGCGAGAGACCGAUAGCGAACAAGUACUGUGAAGGAAAGAUGAAAAGCACUUUGAAAAGAGAGUGAAAAAGUACGUGAAAUUAUUGAUACAGAAGGAUAUACAAUUGGACACGGAGUCUUGGGUUCGCUGCUUCUUCGGGAGUAGUUUGUCCCUUGAUUCUUCACCAGCAUCAGUUUUGGCAGGAGGAUAAACAACAUGGAAUGUAGCUGCUUGCAGUGUUAUAGACUUGUUGCAUACUCUUUGCCGGGACUGAGGUCAGCCUUUGUAGGAUGCUGGGGUAACGAUUGUAUAUCACCCGUCUUGAAACA
Molecule: ribosomal RNA, 732 nt
Filed under: Wickerhamiella nectarea
Lineage: Eukaryota; Fungi; Ascomycota; Dipodascomycetes; Dipodascales; Trichomonascaceae
Description: LSU rRNA
Rfam family: Eukaryotic large subunit ribosomal RNA (bases 104-732)
Source: RNAcentral